AGUCACUGACAUUAGAUACCCGGGUAGUCCAGGGUGUAAACGCUGCAGACUUGGUGUUGGAAGUCCUUUGGGGGCAUUCAGUGCCAGAGAGAAGUUGUUAAGUCUGCUACUUGGGGAGUACGUCCGCAAGGAUGAAACUUAAAGGAAUUGGCGGGGGAGCACCGCAACGGGAGGAGCGUGCGGUUUAAUUGGAUUCAACACCGUAAACUCACCAGGGAAGACUGUUACAUGAAAGCCGAGAUGAAGACUCUGCUAGAUUUUCAG
Molecule: ribosomal RNA, 264 nt
Filed under: uncultured archaeon
Lineage: Archaea
Description: partial 16S ribosomal RNA
Rfam family: Archaeal small subunit ribosomal RNA
Source: RNAcentral